Molecule: long non-coding RNA, 1224 nt
Organism: Rosa rugosa (rugosa rose)
Lineage: Eukaryota; Viridiplantae; Streptophyta; Magnoliopsida; Rosales; Rosaceae
Exons: 7
Source: RefSeq, a predicted model, not a curated record
ACCCUUAAAAGUAUAAAAUAUUGUUUACAGAUUUAUCAACAAUUGUUUUGAUAUUGUUAUAACUCUCAUUUUCAAUUUAUGCGGUGCAGAACUCUCUCUCUCUCUUUCUCGUCCUCCUCCCAGUUUCUCUCUAUCUCUCAAUCAUGAACAAGGGAGCAAUAAUCUUUCAAGGGUUCUUUCAAUGAGUCGGUACUCUCUACAUUCCUUUUCUCUUUCCUCUUCACAACGCAAGUCAAAGUCUUUUAUCUGCUUCUUUUGGUGGAAAAAUCGAUGCAGAUCCAAAAAUCGAUUCGCAUAAGAGUAUCAGGUUAUUGAUCUGAUACUCUUAUGCGAAUCGAUUGUUUGACAUGAAUCUUCCCCUUUCAACAAAACUUCCGAUGGAUACCAUUGCACACCAUGUCUAAGUGUGAUCUUUUGUUAUUCACUUGCUUAGCGGACUGUUUCUGUCUACAUUGUUUUACUUUAUGUGAAUGGAAGAUGGGUUGAAUAUGCAUUCUGAUUUCUUAAGCUACUUAAAAUUCUGGAUUUUCUGGGUUGCUCUAUGAUUGGAGUCUAGAGGUUGGUCUGGCCUAUUGCUCUUUCCUUGUGCCUAUUUCGCUUUAUGGGGUUCAUUUACAGGUUCAGCAGGUCAAAGACAUAGACAAGCUGGGUUUUAUGGGUCUGGUUCAAGAAGAGCUUGUGUUGAUAGAAGACUGGUACAUUUUUAGAUGAGACCGGUGGGGAUUGGUGGAGGGUUGUCACUUGAGACAAGAAAACCAAUCAUACCAAUCGCAGGGUCUAGUCAAAUGCAGUGCUUCUGUAAUAUGUGUGUCUGCUAUGAAUGCCAGAUGUGCUACAGCACUACAAACCAAAUCUGUUACGCACCAGGCUCCAACAAUCACAAGUCUUCCUCUCCCAGAAGCAUCCAUACUCUGUGAAACCAUAGUGAUUAUUUCAGGACGUGACUGCAACUGGCUUUCAGGACGUGACGUUCAAAUCCUAUAAUGGUGAUCCAUGAUCCAUGAAGAUGAAGUGAUCCUAUGAAAGGAGAAGAAAGGAGAAGAUCAAGGCUGGAAUUAUGGACAGCCAACUAUUAGAUAGUUUUUAUAUGGAUUGGCUCGAUGUUAUUUGUAUCAUGUAUUCAUGUGGUUUGAGGAUUGUUGAGUAGUCCCUACCUUAUAGUAUUGUAGAUUUGAAGAAGGUGAAAUUUUAAUUUUGUUUUUAUUUUUUUUUAAUUUUGAAAUA